CGUGCUUACGAUACGGGCAAACUAGAGGUAUGCAGGGGAGAACGGAAUUCCUGGUGUAGCGGUGGAAUGCGCAGAUAUCAGGAGGAACACCGGUGGCGAAGGCGGUUCUCUGGGCAUUAACUGACGCUGAGGAGCGAAAGCAUGGGGAGCGAACAGGAUUAGAUACCCUUGUAGUCCAUGCCGUAAACGUUGUGCGCUAGGUGUGGGGACCCUUCCACGGUCUCCGUGCCGAAGCUAACGCAUUAAGCGCCCCGCCUGGGGAGUACGGCCGCAAGGCUAAAACUCAAAGGAAUUGACGGGGGCCCGCACAAGCGGCGGAAGCAUGCUGAUUAAUUCGAUGCAACGCGAAAAACCUUACCUGGGUUUGACAUAUGCCGGAAAUCUCGUAGAGAUACGGCCCCCCUUGUGGUCGGUAUACAGGUGGGUGCAUGGCUGUCUUCAGCUCGUGUCGUGAGAUAUUGGGUUAAGUCCCGCGACGAGCGCAACCCUCGUCCUAUGUUGCCAGCACGUUAUGGUGGGGACUCAUAGGAGACUGCCGGGGUCAACUCGGAGGAAGGUGGGGAUGACGUCAAGUUUUCAUGCCCCUUAUGUC
This 592-nucleotide ribosomal RNA is filed under the name uncultured bacterium. Its description in RNAcentral is "bacterial SSU rRNA". It matches the Rfam family "Bacterial small subunit ribosomal RNA", at positions 620 to 1208 of the family's 1533-position model. The record is from RNAcentral.